Molecule: unclassified non-coding RNA, 768 nt
Filed under: Hevea brasiliensis (rubber tree)
Lineage: Eukaryota; Viridiplantae; Streptophyta; Magnoliopsida; Malpighiales; Euphorbiaceae
Source: RNAcentral
AGAUGAGCCAUCAGACAUAUCCAAGACCGUGCUGCGAAGCUUGAUUCCUUGAAUGGACCUCAAUACCUCCAUCGAAGGCAUUUUAAGAAGGUGAAUUCGGUUAUCUGCACAAGAUAUAGAGGACAGAGAAGGAUCCGAUGAGAUGGUAAAAUACAAAAGGGGGGAUCCUAUUCGCGGGAGAAAUUUCUGCUUCCCAGUAUCUAACUGCCAAACCACGAGAACUCCUUCCUUCCCGCCUGAGUAAAGAUAGGCACCGUCGGAAGAGAAAAAGAGAACUUUCACUUCUGCAGAGUGCCAAUGUCUUGUGGUACAAAUAUCAGCAUCAUCUUUUUCCCUAACUCCAGGAUUCUCCUCCAUGUCCUCCAUUAGUCCUCCACUUCUCUGUUUAUUUCCAGAUGAUAAAUUAUGCUCCCCAACACCCCUCCAUAUUAAGAUCCUUCCUGUUACAUCUCCAGCUGAAACUAUUCUAUCUGUUGGAUGAAAAGCUAGAGUGCUCAGGGUUUUCGUAUGAUGUAAUCUGAUGUUCUGAAGCACUGAAUGAUCAGAAUCUUUAGUUGGUAUUUCCCAAAUGCGAAGCUUGCGCUUGUCACAGACGCCCAUGUAUCUUCCAGAGCAGCUUAAUGUUAUAGAUAGUGCGUUUUUACUCUCAGCCAGAGUCACUCCACCAACCAAAGUACAUUUAGUUAAGUUACACUUCCUUAUCUGCCACCAUAAAGCACAGCUCCCUCCCAGCUGUUCUUUCAACACUAUGACAGACACAUAUGCAAA